Molecule: long non-coding RNA, 1596 nt
Organism: Mustela erminea (ermine)
Lineage: Eukaryota; Metazoa; Chordata; Mammalia; Carnivora; Mustelidae
Exons: 4
Source: RefSeq, a predicted model, not a curated record
CUGUGGGGGCUGGAGCGGGGUGAAGAGAGAUUAAAGCAAAGAGAAAGAAAACCGGGCCACCUUGCACUUCCUCUGCCCAAGUUCACCUGUUCUCACCCUUCCUCUUGGGCAAGGGGGCUUCACAAAGAGAACAGAAAAGAGGCCAUCAGGCUUCGUACUCCACUUGGACAGCAAAAGCUUUGCAGACGAAAGGUGAAGAGGAAGUCCCUUAUAUUCUACGUUCCAGAACUCAAGGUGGAGCCUACUUCCCUUCUCCUAGAAUGCAGGCUGGGCUUAGUGACAUGGGUCUAGAAUAAGGCAGAGGUGACACUGUAUGGCUAAGGAGACCAGAUCAUAAAAGGCACUGCGGUGUUCUCAAGACUCUCUCGGAAAAAGAAGACGAAGACGAAGAAGACAAAGCAAAUGAUGAAGAAGACGAAGACGAAGAUGAAGAAGAAGACAACGACUCUCUUGGAUCACCCACUCUGCAGGAAGCUGCCUGCCAUACUGUGAGGACCCCCAAGCAGGACUGUGGAGAGGCUCCUAGCGAAAGAAGCAAGAUUUCCUGCCAACAGCCACAGGAAGUCACCUCAGAAGUGGAUCCUCCAGCCCCAGCCAAACCUUCAGAUGACCAUGGCCCUCGCCCACAUCUGGACCCUGAGACAGAGUCAUCCAGCUGAGCUGCGCUCCAAUUCUGACCCACUGACUCUCUGCGUGAGGUUCCAGAAAAAGCAAAGGUACAUUCCUUGGAAGUCACUGAGUUGGUCAGGGUCAACCGAUCCAGUCAAAAGUGGUGAGAACCCAUUAAAUCUGACGGACCCGACCUGUGUCGGGAUUCCCGAGGAACCACCGAAGUGAGAGCUGAAGCAGCGAUACCCUUAAUAUAUUCUGCACUCGCUUGCUUUUAAAACAACAACAAAGCAUGUUGAGAUGACAGAAGAACGCUAGCCAUGCUUUCAGCGCUGUUCUUUUGAGCCUGACUUGUUGUUAGGAAGAUGGCCACUGAGAACUCGGAUGCAUCUAUGCUCGUUCAUUCCUUGCCUCUCUGCGGCUGGCCCCAGUGGACAAAAGGAGGAAGAAGAUGUGGUGAGAACUGGAAGGGGCGAGGGAAAGCGUGGGCCAUGCUGGAGGUGUUGGGGAAAGCAUCAGAGAUGGCACAGGAGAGAGAGAUGCCCCCAUGCCCGGCGAUGGUCAGGUGUGCAGGGUGGGCACAGACCAAACGGGGCCAGGCUCAGCCACUCAGGACCAGGACAGCCCAGGGCCUCCCUCUGUUCCCAGCCAGUGAAGGCCUGGCUCAGACAUGAGCCCACACGGCACGAUGCCCCCAAGAUUCCCGGCCACCACCACCAGCUCAGCCCUGAGCUGCACAGUAUCCCAGGCUUCUCUCCCACCGCCCAGAGAUGGCAAGAGACAGGGAGAUGGCCAGACUUCUGAGUCCAAGGCCCAACUUCACAUCCCGCCUUUGCCUAAGAGCUGCAACCACAACAUGUUCCCCCUAGCACUCUGAGACUCAGGCCCUGCCUCAGAAGCAGAGAAGGUGGGAUGGGGGAGGGGAGAGGUUCCUGGAUGGCUCAGUCCGUUAAGCGUCUGCAUGUUAAGCUCAGAUCAUGAUCCCAU